This 498-nucleotide ribosomal RNA is filed under the name uncultured bacterium. RNAcentral's name for it is "partial 16S ribosomal RNA". It matches the Rfam family "Bacterial small subunit ribosomal RNA", at positions 28 to 507 of the family's 1533-position model. The record is from RNAcentral.
GACGAACGCUGGCGGCGUGCCUAAUACAUGCAAGUCGAGCGGACGGAUGGGAGCUUGCUCCCAGACCGUCAGCGGCGGACGGGUUAGUAACACGUGGGCAACCUGCCUGUAAGACUGGGCUAACUCCGGGAAACCGGGGCUAAUACCGGAUAACUCUUUCCCUCACAUGAGGGAAAGCUGAAAGAUGGCAUCUCGCUAUCACUUACAGAUGGGCCCGCGGCGCAUUAGCUAGUUGGUGAGGUAACGGCUCACCAAGGCGACGAUGCGUAGCCGACCUGAGAGGGUGAUCGGCCACACUGGGACUGAGACACGGCCCAGACUCCUACGGGAGGCAGCAGUAGGGAAUCUUCCGCAAUGGACGAAAGUCUGACGGAGCAACGCCGCGUGAGUGAUGAAGGUUUUCGGAUCGUAAAACGCUGUUGUCAGGGAAGAACAAGUACCGGAGUAACUGCCGGUACCUUGACGGUACCUGACCAGAAAGCCACGGCUAACUACGUG